UGUUGUGUUGCUACCAUGUUGUUGUCAUGCUGUGUUGCUACCAUGUUGUUGUCAUGUUGUGUUGCCACCAUGUUGUUGUCAUGCUGUGUUGCUACCAUGUUGUGUUGUCAUGUUGUGUUGCUACCAUGUUGUUGUUAUGUUGUGUUGCUACCAUGUUGUUGUUAUGUUGUGUUGCUACCAUGUUGUUGUCAUGCUGUGUUGCUACCAUGUUGUGUUGUCAUGUUGUGUUGCUACCAUGUUGUUGUCAUGCUGUGUUGCUACCAUGCUGUGUUGUCAUGUUGUGUUGCUACCAUGUUGUUGUUAUGUUGUGUUGCCACCAUGUUGUUGUCAUGUUGUGUUGUUACCAUGUUGUUGUCAUGCUGUGUUGCUACCAUGUUGUUGUCAUGUUGUGUUGGUAAAAUUAUGAUGAAAUGACUGAACAAAUCAUUUUAAAUGGAACUGUGUGCACCGGAGCCUCCCACUCCUCUUUCUAUUCCGGUUAGAGCCAGUUUUCUCUGUUCUGUGAAGGGAGUAGUACACAGCGUUACAGGGAGACAGGAUGGACAGCUGAUCGUCCUUGCAGUGGCAGACCACGUGUAACAACACCUGCACAGGAUCGGUACAUCCGAACAUCACACCUGCGGGACAAGUACAGGAUGGCAACAACAACAGGCCGAGUUACACCAGGAACGCACAAUCCCUCCAUCGGCGCUCACAGACAGCAAUAGGCUGAGAGAGGCUGGACUGAGGGCUUAUAGGCCUGUUGUAAGGCAGGUCCUCACCAGACAUCAGCGGCAACAAUGUCGCCUAUGGGCACAAACCCAACGUCGCUGGACCAGACAGGACUUGCAAAAAGUGCUCUUCACUUACUAGUCAUGGUUUUGUCUCACCAGGGGUGAUGGUCGGAUUCGCGUUUAUCAUCGAAGGAAUGAGCAUUACACCGAGGCCUGUACUCUGGAUCGAUUUGGAGGUGGAGGGUAGACCCCCCGUGCCUCUCUGAUUCAGAGGGGUUGGAUUAAAUGCGGAAGACUCAUUUCAGUUGUACAACUGACUAGGUAUCCCCCUUUCCCUUUCCUGUAUCGAUGAAAGGUACACAUUCUUACAUAACCAGAACACUUCUUCUGUGGUAUUCUGUAAAAGGUUGUUUAUUUUACACAUUGUUAUAUUAGCAGAACACUUCUUCUGUGGUAUUCUGUAAAAGGUUGUUUAUUUUACACAUUGUUAUAUUAGCAGAACACUUCUUCUGUGGUAUUCUGUAAAAGGUUGUUUAUUUUACACAUCAUUACAUAACCAGAACACUU
Molecule: long non-coding RNA, 1280 nt
Organism: Oncorhynchus keta (chum salmon)
Lineage: Eukaryota; Metazoa; Chordata; Actinopteri; Salmoniformes; Salmonidae
Exons: 2
Source: RefSeq, a predicted model, not a curated record